CCUACGGGUGGCAGCAGUGGGGAAUAUUGGGCAAUGGGCGCAAGCCUGACCCAGCAACGCCGCGUGAAGGAAGAAGGCCCUCGGGUUGUAAACUUCUUUUAACAGGGACGAAGAACGUGACGGUACCUGUUGACUAAGCCACGGCUAACUACGUGCCAGCAGCCGCGGUAAUACGUAGGUGGCAAGCGUUAUCCGGAUUUACUGGGUGUAAAGGGCGUGUAGGCGGGAGAGCAAGUCAGACGUGAAAUUCCAGGGCUCAACCCUGGAACUGCGUUUGAAACUGUUCUUCUUGAGUGAUGGGGAGGGAGGCGGAAUUCCGUGUGUAGCGGUGAAAUGCGGAGAUAUACGGAGGAACACCAGUGGCGAAGGCGGCCUGCUGGACAUUAACUGACGCUGAGGCGCGAAAGCGUGGGGAGCAAACAGGAUUAGAUACCCUUGUAGUC
This 443-nucleotide ribosomal RNA is filed under the name uncultured bacterium. RNAcentral's name for it is "partial 16S ribosomal RNA". It matches the Rfam family "Bacterial small subunit ribosomal RNA", at positions 338 to 795 of the family's 1533-position model. The record is from RNAcentral.